Molecule: long non-coding RNA, 357 nt
Filed under: Apteryx rowi (Okarito brown kiwi)
Lineage: Eukaryota; Metazoa; Chordata; Aves; Apterygiformes; Apterygidae
Description: lncRNA (ENSARWG00000006565.1)
Source: RNAcentral
GCAUUAAUACAGUACCAAAUAUACUCUAGAAGAUGUCUCUCUUGAAUAUAUAUUAAAAACAAUCAUAAGAUGAGCAUUUCUUACAGUCAUGGAGAAAUCAGUGGAAGAGGAAAUUAAUCUACAGCUUGAGAAAAUGAAAGAAAAGCAAGAAUCUGAAAGAAGGAGAAGGAUAGCUGAAGAGAAGCACAAGGAAUGGGUGCAAAAAAAAAGAGAAGAGGUAAAUAUUGCUUUAGUUGUAAAUAUUAUAGCACAUGCUAUGCUUUAGUAAACCUAUGUAAAAUUUGCUCAGGCUUUUUGGAUAACCGUGUUUUUACUUUGCUGAAUAAUGGCUGUUUUAAUUGAAAAUUAUAAAAUCAC